RNAcentral lists this long non-coding RNA (960 nucleotides) under Rhinopithecus bieti (black snub-nosed monkey). RNAcentral describes it as "lncRNA (ENSRBIG00000045259.1)". Lineage: Eukaryota; Metazoa; Chordata; Mammalia; Primates; Cercopithecidae. The record is from RNAcentral.
CCACCACGCCCAGCUAAUUUUUGUGUUUUUUUUGGAGACAAGUUUUCACCAUGUUUCCCAGUCUGGUCUUGAAAUCCCGGGUUCAAGCAGUCUGCCCAUUUGGGCCUCCCAAAGGGCUAGGAUUAUAGGCAUGAGCCACUGUACCUGGCCCUUAGUAAGUUUUUUUUUUUUUUUUUGAUAAUUAUUUCAGAUUCAAUGGUAACUUCUAAACUUCAGAAAAGUCUUUAACAGAAAUUCCCAAGGAAGUAGCUCCUACAAGAGAGAAAUGGACUCCUUCCUCUCUUCUCUGUUCUCAGGUCAUUUGUCCUGCCUCAGCCUCUCCAGAUGGUGGGCCUCUGCCUGGGGAGGCUCUGGAGAGGCUCUGGGAAGUGACUCAAGACCAAGGGGAAGGAGAAAGGUCUGCUCUGGGCUCCUCAGCCCUGAAAGGAAGCCGCAGUGUCCUUACUGCAGUAGAAGUGAUAAGCUCCAGAGAUGUUUCAUGCCAAAGACUUCCUAAGACUUCCUGGUCCACUGGGAACCAGAGGAGUGAAUUUUGCGACACUGGUUGCUAUGGCUACACGUAUUGGACCCCUAAGCCCUGGAAGCUGGGGUCAGAGAGAGUGGACAUCCUCACUGCUCCUGGAGGGACCAAUGCAACAGGGGGAGCAAAGAGGGAAGAGAGAAGCCCCUCCCAUUCGCUUCUACUGGGGCUUGUUAAGCCAUUGCCUUGGGGGCCGGCUGAUCAGCGGCAGCCAACAGCCGGCGGCUUCGGCAGGCAGAAGCAAGGACAGCCUGUGGCUACUGCAGCCCCACUGCCCGGCCACUCUUCAUGACGGGAGAGUGCCUUGGGAGGAAUGUAAAGGCAAACCACGAAACUGGCAAAUGCAUGAAGUCAAUCUCCAUGGUGCACUUCCACUCCAGGGACUGUACGAGAGGAAAAAAAGGUGCUUCAUAUCCCAACCAAAAGUAUUCUCUGUCUGA